UAACAAAAAAAAAAAAAAAAAAUACUGCCUCCUGCCCUCCCACCAGAAAAACAGAAGUCCGAAGAUGAUGAGCUUAAUCCUCAGGAGAUCAUCUUCUCAAGGCCCAAGAUUUGCUCCGGCCUCCUUGACAUCCCUUGAAACGCUUUUACACCAGUUCUCAUCCACGUCGACGUACUUUGUUGUGCCCAGAAAUGGCGUUCUCUAUGUGGAGAGUAGACCGAGAAGCUCCUUUGGAUUUAAUAAUAAUAACAAAUGGAGGAACUUUCAUGUGCAAUCAGGGCCCUUGAAUUUUAGGGCAUCACUGACGUCGCAGGCAGAGUUUGCAGUCGACGAUUAUGGCUACGAGGAGGAGAAGGGGUUUGGAGGAAAAGGGAAUAUGAGUAUGAAUAGUAGUGAGGAAGGGCUUGAGAUUGGAAAACUGAGUAUUUCUGAAGAGAUUGUUUCUGCUUUGUCCAAAAGAGGCAUUACCACACUCUUCCCCAUACAGAAAGCUGUGCUCGAACCAGCAAUGAAAGGGAGAGACUUGUUUGGACGGGCUAGAACAGGAACAGGAAAGACUCUUGCAUUUGGAAUUCCCAUCAUUGAUCGAAUCAUUCAGUUCAAUCAAAAGCAUGGACGGGGUAGGAACCCUUUGGCCCUGGUUAUGGCUCCGACAAGGGAACUUGCACGCCAAGUUGAGAAAGAGUUUCGUGAGUCAGCACCCAGCCUGGAUACCAUAUGUCUAUAUGGGGGUACACCUAUUGUGCGCCAAAUGAAGGAACUUGAUUAUGGUGUUGAUGUUGUUGUUGGCACACCUGGCCGCAUCAUUGAUCUGAUGAAGAGAGGUUCUCUAAACUUGUCAGAAGUUCAGUUUGUUGUUCUUGAUGAAGCUGAUCAAAUGCUUGGUGUGGGCUUUGUGGAUGAUAUUGAAACAAUCUUCCAGAGGUUGCCACAGAAUAGGCAGAGCAUGCUGUUCUCUGCAACAAUGCCAAGUUGGAUUAAAAACCUUAUCAGGAAUUAUCUCAAAGAUCCACUGACUAUUGAUCUUGUUGGAGAUUCUAGUACAAAGCUGGCUGAUGGAAUCUCACUUUAUUCAAUUGCCUCAGACACGUAUGAAAAAGCAUCAGUACUCGGUCCUCUGAUAACAGAACACGCAAAAGGAGGAAAGUGUAUUGUUUUUACUGAAACAAAACGUGAAGCUGAUCGAUUAGCAUAUGCUAUGGCAAGAAACUUUCGAUGUGAGGCUUUGCAUGGGGAUAUCUCACAAAGUCAGAGGGAGAGGACACUUUCAGGCUUCCGAAAUGGGAAUUUCAAUAUAUUGGUUGCCACUGAUGUUGCUGCCCGUGGCCUUGAUGUUCCUAACGUUGAUCUGGUAAUACAUUAUGCAUUGCCAAACUGUUCAGAGACUUUUGUUCAUCGAUCUGGCCGUACUGGUCGUGCUGGGAAGAAAGGAACUGCCAUUCUUAUUUACACACAGGAUCAAAGUAGGCAAGUCAGGAUCUAUGAGCGGGAAAUAGGGUGCAGAUUUACAGAGCUUCCUAGGAUUACAGUUGAGGGUGGAAGCAUGGGCAUCAUGAAUGAUAUUGGUUAUGGCGUUCGAUUUGGAGGAGUGAGAGAUCGUCGAUUUGGUGAUACAGGUUUUAGUCGAGCUGGUGGUCAUGGGGAUUAUGGAUCUAAUCGUUACAGGAAUCCAGGAUUUGGCCAUUCUGAUGGGCGUGGUCAACUUUCUCGUCAAAUGAAUGGAGCUGGUUCCUUUGGUUAUAACCGAAAACAACCAGGAAAUUUUAUUAGUCCUGGCUUUGGUUUUGGUGAACCUAGUCGAUCAGAUGGUUCUAGUGCUUUUGGGGACUGGGGUUCUGGUCGUUCCAGUGGAUUUGGUGAUAGUAAUUCAAGCCGAGCCAGUGAUGUUUUGAAUGAGACUCGCACUAGUCGGUUUGGGGGCUUUGGGGAUGUCAAGAAUGAUAAUUCGAACAAUGGGAGAAAAUAAAUCUGACUAAAUAAGUGACAUUGACAUGCCUUGCAAUGACAGCUGAAAUGGCCGGAAAUGGACAGAGUCGGAUACAAGUAGUAUGUUUAUGACGAAUUGAUAACGUUUCUGGAUAUUUAAUAUUAAAGUCUUUUGAUGUUCUGUUACAUUAGUGUUUUUAUUAUCGUUAUAUGAAGGAAAAUUAAUAUUAUUAGUCAGAUAUUGAGAUGAGUGUUUUGAAAUGUAAUCUAUUUAUUUAGUUCAACCUCUGCAGCCGUAUCUAAAUAUGAUACCCUACGUGUUCAAUAUAUAUAUUGUUUUUGGAGGCCAUUCUAGUCAAGCUAGGGAAUUUCGGGUGUCCCAGUCAGUAAGUUUACUUAUUUGUGCGCCAAUUCAAUAAGAUAUCCUGUAUAUUUUUUAAUUGGAUCUUGAAAUUUGAUUUGUUAAUGUUUAUUCUGUAAUUUUAAUCUGCUGUAUG
This 2423-nucleotide unclassified non-coding RNA is filed under the name Hevea brasiliensis (rubber tree). The record is from RNAcentral. Lineage: Eukaryota; Viridiplantae; Streptophyta; Magnoliopsida; Malpighiales; Euphorbiaceae.